GAGUUUGAUCUUGGCUCAGAUUGAACGCUGGCGGCAUGCCUUACACAUGCAAGUCGAACGGCAGCACGGGAGCUUGCUCCUGGUGGGCGAGUGGCGAACGGGUGAGUAAUGCAUCGGAACGUAUCCUGGAGUGGGGGGAUAACGUAGCGAAAGUUACGCUAAUACCGCAUAUUCUGUGAGCAGGAAAGCGGGGGACCUUCGGGCCUCGCGCUCUUGGAGCGGCCGAUGUCGGAUUAGCUAGUUGGUGAGGUAAAGGCUCACCAAGGCGACGAUCCGUAGCAGGUCUGAGAGGAUGAUCUGCCACACUGGAACUGAGACACGGUCCAGACUCCUACGGGAGGCAGCAGUGGGGAAUUUUGGACAAUGGGGGCAACCCUGAUCCAGCCAUGCCGCGUGAGUGAAGAAGGCCU
This 410-nucleotide ribosomal RNA is filed under the name bacterium enrichment culture clone ALO1_GLFRUDD03FZZRC. Its description in RNAcentral is "bacterial SSU rRNA". It matches the Rfam family "Bacterial small subunit ribosomal RNA", at positions 9 to 417 of the family's 1533-position model. The record is from RNAcentral.